Molecule: ribosomal RNA, 301 nt
Filed under: uncultured bacterium
Lineage: Bacteria
Description: partial 16S ribosomal RNA
Rfam family: Bacterial small subunit ribosomal RNA
Source: RNAcentral
CAGCAGCCGCGGUAAAACGUAGGGUGCAAGCGUUAAUCGGAUUUACUGGGCGUAAAGCGUGCGUAGGCGGCUUCUUAAGUCGGAUGUGAAAUCCCUGAGCUUAACUUAGGAAUUGCAUUCGAUACUGGGAAGCUAGAGUAUGGGAGAGGAUGGUAGAAUUCCAGGUGUAGCGGUGAAAUGCGUAGAGAUCUGGAGGAAUACCGAUGGCGAAGGCAGCCAUCUGGCCUAAUACUGACGCUGAGGUACGAAAGCAUGGGGAGCAAACAGGAUUAGAUACCCGCGUAGUCCCUGUCUCUUAUAC